CGCAGCACGAGCACCAGGUUGGGGGUCAGUGGUCCUUGCCGCGUGUUUUCUCUUCCCAGUGAUGCCCAGGAUGCUAGCGAGCGAGCGGCUACAGAUACGACUCGUUUCAUGUGGAGCAGCAAUGGAAGCUACUCUAACAACCACGGGGACCAAGAUCAACGUCCGUGGCCAUAUUUGGGCGAACUCUUUUCUUUUGUCGGAGUGAAAGUUUCUUCCUCCCGGAUGAAGUGCCUCUUAUGCCGACCGAAAGCUACGGAGAUAUUGGCCUUCAACAACUCACCAACCUCAGGAAACACAUUGAGAGAUACAAGUACAUAUUCACAAAUCAACUCUGGAUGCACGGACAGCGCAUGAAACUAAAUGAAUGGACUACAUCAAGCAGCACAUGGAAGAACCCUCCCUGCAGCUAGGUGAUGCCACCAGGUCCAGUUCAUCUGAUGAAGAGGACUUCUUCAUCUCAAGCGCAUGACAGCAGCAAACAGCUGGAUGGAGACGUGGAUCACGUUGACUUGAUGAAAUGCUUCCCAACUGUGUGCUGCUGUCUGUGAAGCUAGACACACUCUACCUGCACCAGGGCCUGUGAAGCUAGACACACUCUACCUG
Long non-coding RNA from Pseudoliparis swirei, 603 nucleotides. RefSeq lists it as uncharacterized. The transcript is spliced from 3 exons. The record is from RefSeq and is a predicted model, not a curated record. NCBI's taxonomy places the organism in Eukaryota, Metazoa, Chordata, Actinopteri, Perciformes, Liparidae.